GAACACUUCCGGUCUCCCGGUUUAAUUAACCUGCAUCUGCCAGUCGCUCUCUUUUAUGUUCUUGGCAAUUGUGUUUUAGAGACAAGUGAGAGGCUAGAGAAUGAGAGAGCAACAGAAAGUCUUCGUCGCCAUCGUCAUCAACGGAACUAUUCGUCGAUCCAAGGGUGCCUAUGGCAUUCAUCGGAAUCCCGGUUGUGGCAAAGCAUAUGGAUUUUGGGGCAUGACGUUCGUCUGAACCCUAGAUCGUCGCAUGCCUUCUACUUUUUGGGGGUUUUUCACUGUGGCCACUCAAUAAUGGUUAGGGUUUCCUACCCAAGCCCAUCAUCCUUUUACAUUUUCAGAUUUGCUCAAUCAGGCGGCGUUGGUGGUACUACUAUUGCGGCAGAAACUAGGGUUUAUGUAGUUGACGGCGGUGAUGGUGGUUGCCGGCAUCAAAGCAGGAGCUGAUGUGGUCAAAAUGUUGAUUCCUGCCAAUUUUUUAUCAUUACAACAACAUCAGGAAUUCAUCCUAGAUGUGGGAGGUUCUUGUGUUAAAAGGGAGGUUCUCUAUGCUAUUUUUUUUGCACAACUUGGAACCUUUGGAUGCAUAGAAACGAGAAGGUGUUCAGAUCACCCUCUUCAGUGGUCAAGGUGAUCGAAGGUUUAAAUGAGACAUCAUUUUGGUCAAUAUCUAUGAGGUCUAAGCUUAGAGGCAUUCUGUAUGAAAAUUGGUGUAGGUUUGUAAUUGGGGGGAUAUGCAACUGUAUGGGUAUCUGUUUUUUAGGGUGUUUUGGUUGUUUGCAUUUGUGUUUGUGGUCCCAGUUGUUAACCUGCUUACUAAUGGGGUUAUAAUUUUUGUGAUUAAUACAAUUCUCUGUUGGUUGGUAAAAAA
This is a long non-coding RNA of Helianthus annuus (common sunflower), 871 nucleotides long. RefSeq lists it as uncharacterized. NCBI's taxonomy places the organism in Eukaryota, Viridiplantae, Streptophyta, Magnoliopsida, Asterales, Asteraceae. The transcript has 2 exons. The record is from RefSeq and is a predicted model, not a curated record.